RNAcentral lists this ribosomal RNA (253 nucleotides) under uncultured bacterium. RNAcentral describes it as "partial 16S ribosomal RNA". It matches the Rfam family "Bacterial small subunit ribosomal RNA", at positions 524 to 776 of the family's 1533-position model. The record is from RNAcentral.
UACAGAGGGUGCAAGCGUUGUUCGGAAUUACUGGGCGUAAAGGGCGCGUAGGCGGCCUUCUAAGUCGAACGUGAAAUCCCCGGGCUCAACCCGGGAACUGCGUCCGAUACUGGAAGGCUUGAAUCCGGGAGAGGGAUGCGGAAUUCCAGGUGUAGCGGUGAAAUGCGUAGAUAUCUGGAGGAACACCGGUGGCGAAGGCGGCAUCCUGGACCGGUAUUGACGCUGAGGCGCGAAAGCCAGGGGAGCAAACGGG